RNAcentral lists this ribosomal RNA (478 nucleotides) under uncultured bacterium. Its description in RNAcentral is "partial 16S ribosomal RNA". It matches the Rfam family "Bacterial small subunit ribosomal RNA", at positions 28 to 523 of the family's 1533-position model. The record is from RNAcentral.
GACGAACGCUGGCGGCGUGCUUAACACAUGCAAGUCGAACGGUAAGGCCCUCCGGGGUACACGAGUGGCGAACGGGUGAGUAACCCGUUGGUGAUCCGCCCUUCACUUCGGGAUAAGCCUGGGAAACUGGGUCAAUUACCCGAUAGGACCCAUGGCUUCAUGGUUGGGGGUGGAAUGUAUUUGAGGUGUGGGAUGGGCCCGCGGCCUAUCAGCUUGUUGGUGGUGUAAUGGCUUACCAAGGCGCCGACGGGUAGCCGGCCUGGGAGGGGGACCGGUCACACUGGGACGGAGAUACGGCACAGACUCCUACGGGAGGCAGCAGUGGGGAAUAUUGCACAAUGGGCGCAAGCCUGAUGCAGCGACGCCGCGUGAGGGAUGACGGCCUUCGGGUUGUAAACCUCUUUCAGCUAUGACGAAGCGCAAGUGACGGUAGUAGCAGAAGAAGGACCGGCCAACUACGUGCCAGCAGCCGCAGUAA